UCCAGACUCCUACGGGAGGCAGCAGUGGGGAAUAUUGCACAAUGGGGGGAACCCUGAUGCAGCGACGCCGCGUGGGUGAAGGAGUGCUUCGGCAUGUAAAGCCCUAUCGGCAGGGAAGAAGCAAGACGGUACCUGACUAAGAAGCCCCGGCUAACUACGUGCCAGCAGCCGCGGUAAUACGUAGGGGGCGAGCGUUAUCCGGAUUCACUGGGUGUAAAGGGAGCGUAGACGGCAAUGCAAGUCCGGAGUGGAAUGCGGCAGCUCAACUGCCGAACUGCUCUGGAAACUGUAUGGCUUGAGUGCAGGAGGGGUAAGCGGAAUUCCUGGUGUAGCGGUGAAAUGCGUAGAUAUCAGGAGGAACACCGGUGGCGAAGGCGGCUUACUGGACUGUAACUGACGUUGAGGCUCGAAAGCGUGGGGAGCAAACAGGAUUAGAUACCCCUGUAU
RNAcentral lists this ribosomal RNA (447 nucleotides) under uncultured bacterium. RNAcentral describes it as "bacterial SSU rRNA". It matches the Rfam family "Bacterial small subunit ribosomal RNA", at positions 330 to 793 of the family's 1533-position model. The record is from RNAcentral.